AGAGAGAGACAUGCGCGCAUAUCAAUAAGCGGAGGAAAAGAAACUAACAAGGAUUCCCCUAGUAACGGCGAGUGAAGCGGGAAGAGCUCAAAUUUGAAAUCUUAAAGGGUUUCCCUUUACGAAUUGUAGUUUAAAGAAGUGUUUUCUGUUGAGGUUUUGGUAAAAGUUCUUUGGAAUAGGACAUCAUAGAGGGUGAGAAUCCCGUAUUUGACCUUUACUUUCAACUUUGUGAUACACUUUCAAAGAGUCGGAUUGUUUGGGAAUGCAGUCCAAAAUGGGUGGUAAAUUUCAUCUAAAGCUAAAUAUUGGCGAGAGACCGAUAGCGAACAAGUACCGUGAGGGAAAGAUGAAAAGAACUUUGAAAAGAGAGUUAAACAGUACGUGAAAUUGUCAAAAGGGAAGCGUUUGACACCAGUGUUGUUUUUCUGAAAAUCAAUUAAAGAACUGUUUAUGCUAAGUUGUUUAGACUUUAUCAGCUAACUGUUUAGUUUUGAGCUUCUCUUUAAUGCACUUUUCAGUUAACAAGUCAACAUCAAUUUCUUUUGCUGUAAAAAAGCUUGAGGAAGGUGGCUUGAGAUUCGUCUUAAGUGUUUAUAGCCUCUUGCCUAUGCAGUCGGAGAGAUUGAGGUCUGCAGCGUAGAUCCCUCGGGGCUAAAUGCAUUUGUGCUAAGUUAUAGCAUUUUAUAGACAACUUGUUGACUAUGAUUUGUCUUGUAGCUUACUCGCUUAUGUUAUUUUACCUACGCUUAGGAUGUUGACGCAUGAGAUAUACGC
Molecule: ribosomal RNA, 774 nt
Filed under: uncultured Neocallimastigales
Lineage: Eukaryota; Fungi; Neocallimastigomycota; Neocallimastigomycetes; Neocallimastigales
Description: partial large subunit ribosomal RNA
Rfam family: Eukaryotic large subunit ribosomal RNA
Source: RNAcentral